GUGCUUGCUUCAGCAGCAUAUACACUAAAAUUGGAAAGAAACAGAGAUUAGAAUGGCCCCUGCGCAAGGAUGACACGCAAAUUCGUGAAGCUUUCCAUAUUUUU
Small nuclear RNA from Cricetulus griseus (Chinese hamster), 104 nucleotides. Lineage: Eukaryota; Metazoa; Chordata; Mammalia; Rodentia; Cricetidae. The record is from Ensembl.